This 253-nucleotide ribosomal RNA is filed under the name uncultured bacterium. Its description in RNAcentral is "partial 16S ribosomal RNA". It matches the Rfam family "Bacterial small subunit ribosomal RNA", at positions 524 to 776 of the family's 1533-position model. The record is from RNAcentral.
GACGAACCGAGCGAACGUUGUUCGGAAUCACUGGGCUUAAAGGGCGCGUAGGCGGGUGUUCAAGUCUGUGGUGAAAUCCUCCGGCUCAACCGGAGAAUUGCCUCGGAUACUGAAUGUCUCGAGGGUGAUAGGGGUAUGCGGAACUAUCGGUGGAGCGGUGAAAUGCGUUGAUAUCGAUAGGAACUCCGGUGGCGAAGGCGGCAUACUGGAUCACUUCUGACGCUGAGGCGCGAAAGCCAGGGGAGCAAACGGG